This 253-nucleotide ribosomal RNA is filed under the name uncultured bacterium. RNAcentral's name for it is "partial 16S ribosomal RNA". It matches the Rfam family "Bacterial small subunit ribosomal RNA", at positions 524 to 776 of the family's 1533-position model. The record is from RNAcentral.
UACGUAGGGGGCAAGCGUUGUCCGGAAUUAUUGGGCGUAAAGAGCGCGUAGGCGGUCCGGUAAGUCGGCUGUGAAAGUCAAGGGCUCAACCCUUGAAAGCCGGCCGAUACUGUCGGACUAGAGUCCGGAAGAGGCGAGUGGAAUUCCCGGUGUAGCGGUGAAAUGCGCAGAUAUCGGGAGGAACACCAAUUGCGAAGGCAGCUCGCUGGGACGUUACUGACGCUGAGACGCGAAAGCGUGGGGAGCAAACAGG